UACGGGGGGGAGCAAGCGUUGUUCGGAUUUACUGGGCGUAAAGGGCGCGUAGGCGGUCGUGACAAGUCACUUGUGAAAUCUCCGGGCUUAACUCGGAACGGUCAAGUGAUACUGUCGGACUAGAGUACAGAAGGGCAACUGGAAUUCUCGGUGUAGCGGUGAAAUGCGCAGAUAUCUGGAGGAACACCGAUGGCGAAGGCAAUCCCCUGGACCUGUACUGACGCUCAUGCACGAAAGCGUGGGGAGCAAACAGG
This 254-nucleotide ribosomal RNA is filed under the name uncultured bacterium. Its description in RNAcentral is "partial 16S ribosomal RNA". It matches the Rfam family "Bacterial small subunit ribosomal RNA", at positions 524 to 776 of the family's 1533-position model. The record is from RNAcentral.